AGGUGUAUUAAUACAUGGUAAAAAUGACUCAAUAGUGAAUUUCAAUAAUAUAAUGUUCAUAAUCAAAUUCAAGCCAUGUAUAUGUUAUUAAAGUUACUACGAGAUCUGUCUGUUGGUUAGAAAAAGUUAAUAUUUGUGUAUAAUUGCGCAGGAUGAACGUUAUAUAUAAAAAUAAUUUUUAUAUAUUAUUAUUUAUUUAUGUUUAUUUACGUAUUAUGUAUAUAACUAAAUUAUAGUAAGCACAUAAAUCAAAACAAUACCGCUUGUUUCUUUAAGUUAUUUUUUGGUAAAUAAAUAAAUAAAUCAUUUUAUUUAUUUUAUAUGGUAUAUAAUUAAAUUUCAAUGACAUGGACAUAGAUAUAUAGUAUAUUUAAUAUAAAUAUAUAUUAUUGAAGUCAACAUAUCUUCUUUUUGUUUUGUUUUUUUUUUCUUUUGACAUCGAAAGGCUAUUGUAUUAUUCAAAGAACUUGAAGUGGUUUGGGUAUCCAGACCGAAAUAGAAAAAAACAAUGUAAUAGAGUUUCCUUUGAAAUGUUCUUGCAAUCUUAGCUAAAGAAUCUGAAAUUCCAUUAUAUGCUCUUGGGAUGUGAAAAAUCUUUGAGUCCGGAUAACAUAUACGCAACCUCCAAUUCAGUUGAAAAACUUGGCCAAGCUUGAGGCUCCUUUACCAUAUCAGUUAGAUCCUUGCAAUUUGUACCAAAACUCUGACAUGACGAAUGUUGAAGCAUGCUUUCCAUUGCCCAUUGCAGUGCUUCCACUUCCGAAUGUAAAGCAGUCUAUCACCUACUUAAGUUUCGCGUCUCCAUAAGUUGGAUUUUUCCCAGACUAUCCUUCCAAACCCAUCCACAACCACUAAACUGAACCGUGGAAGUCCAUGAACCAUCCACCAUACAAAUAUUUUCUAAGCUUAUUGGGGUUCUUCACUGAUAUGCUCAUGUGGAAUGAGUGGUACCAUCUCAUUUGCAUUAUACCGAGCCUGACAUUCACUUUCAGCAUAUCGGAAUAACUCCAAAGGAUCCAUGUCUAUCCCCCUGAAUAGUUUGUCAACCCGAGCCUUUCAAAUAUACCAGAUUAUCCAUGGGUAAGGGUCCUUGUCAAGCUCUAGCUCAACAAUGCUAUUCUUCUUCCAGAAGAGAUAAUCCAUAUUAGCAUAAGUGCUCGGUAGCAGGAAAAUGUUAGGACUAGAUGGUGUUGUCGAAAGGGACCAUACUUGUAAUGCUGGAGGGCAUUCAAAUAUGGCAUGAGUAACAGUUUCUUCUGGUUCUCCACAUCUUGGACAAUAGUUGUCGAAUCUCAUAUUACGGCGUAUUAGAUUUCUCGUUACAGGCACUUGUCAUGUUAUCAGCUGCCACCUAAGAUGCCAUAUCUUCUGAGGUCCUUUUUACCUUCCAAAGCAAAGGCUUGGAGUUUAGUUAUAUUGGGUUCUUGGAUCUCCUUCUCUUCUUCAGUCCUUAUUAGAUUUCAAGCUACCAGUAUCCCGAUUUUACCGUAUAGUGACCAUUCUUAGUGAGAGUCCAACGGAAUGUAUCUCGAUGAGUUAAGCUUAUGGCCAAACUUCUCAUGAGAGGAAUAUUAUCAGGGGCAACCUAAUUCUAUAAUAGUCCAACAUUACAUUCCUUUGUUUCACCGUUAAUGAGAUCACUGACUCUCAUAUUCAGAUGCAAAACUGGGGCAGUUGAUCACGGCGGUCUAGCUGGUGAAGUAGGAAUUCAAGAGUCCUCCCAAACCUUAACCUCAUAUCCAGAAUGUAUUUUUUGCCUACUUCCCACUAGUAGUAAUUUUCGUGCCGCUGAGAUACUAUUCCAUACAUAGGAAGGGCUGCUUGUUGAACUCAUUCGCAAAGGCGAACUCAUUCGGUAAUAUCUUCCUCUCAAUACUCGAGCUACUAAGGAAUCAGGAUACUGGACUAAUCGCCAAAGUUGUUUUGCUAGUAAUGCCAUGUUGAACUCGUGGAUCAUACUGAAACCAAUCCCGGAUCAUACUGAAACCAAUCCCGCCUUCUUCUCUCGGCAAACUCAUCUCUUUCCAUUUUGUCCAGUGGAUUCCUCUAUUUGGUGGAUUUGAGCUCAACCAGAAAUGUGCAAUGGCACUUGCGAGGUUCUCACAUAUCUCCUGUUGGAGCAAAAAUCUAGACAUAACAUAAGUCGGAAGAGCUAACAAUAUAGAUUUGAUUAAGACUUCUUUCCCUCCUUUUGAUAGCCAUCUUCCCGUCCAUCCAUUCACUUUAUGCAUUAGUUUAUCUUUGAGAAAAGCAAAAAAAUUACAGUUGGAGCUGCUAAUGUCUUAUGGGAUUCCAAGAUAUGUUCACAUUCCUCCUUCAGUCUAGAUCCCAAGUGUAUCUUUAAUUUGUUGUCUAACAUUUGCGCCAAUCAUCUUACCAAAGAGUAUAGAGGAUUUAUCAAAUUUGAUACAAUGGUCUGAUGCUUUUCCAUAUUUCCUUACCAUUUCAUCACUUCUUCAAAUUCACGGAGCUCCGCCUUACAAAAAAAAAGAAGCUAUCAUUAGCAAAAAAAAGGGGUGAGAUACCAAGGGACACGAACGUGUAACACGCAUCCCUGUUAUCUUCCCUUAGUUCUUUGUAUAAUUUACAAGGCUAACGCUUCGUGCGUAGAAUAAAAAUGAAAAGAAACAAAUAAUAUCCUUGGCGUAAUCCUCUCUCCGAAACAAUACUCUUCUAGGCUGCCCAUUCAUAAAUACCUUGUACUGAACCGAAGAGAUACAUCGCAUUCUCCAGGUAAUCCAAGUUUCUGAAAAUUCCAUCUUUCGCAUAACUUCUUUGAUGAAUGACUACUACAUCCUAUCAUUUGCUUUACUCAUCUCCAUCUUAAUGGUCCAGUCAAAGUCAACAUAUUUUUUUUUGGGGUCAAAGUCAACAUAUCUAAAACCAUAAAUUUCUAUUAAAAAAAUAAUGAGUAAAGCAACACCAAUUUGCUUUGGUUUCUGUGUGCGCCGGGUUCAAAUUACCAUUGGUACGGUCCGGAACUUCUAUUGUUAACCAAAAAAAAUCUUGAUUUACUUCUCUUUCAAGAAAUUAGAACGUCGAUACACACCCACGUCUCUUUUUCCUAUCAACUAAAAACCAGAUCUGCGAUUUGGAUGGAUGCUCCUCGGAUCCCUGUGACCUCGUCGGACAGUAGGUCGCUCUCCCAUCCCCUCUUUUUUCUCGGCGUCUGUUCUCCAUUGUCGAACUAAUCUAGAUUUUGGUGAUUCUCGGAGUCAAUUUAACGGAGGCAGGUGUUGCUACUUCCUUAAUCCAGUCGGCAGUCGCCGGUUUGUGACUUCCCUCAUAUUUGUGAAUGAUUAAUGUAUAUAAACUCGUGUGGUAUGCAUGUAAUAAUUAAACCUUGACACUAUACAAUUCUAUUGUCUGUCGUGCAGCAUAUUACACUUUAAUGUCCUAUAAUUGAAUAGUUUUAAGUAUUUUCAUUGUAAAUGGGAAUCUACGAAUCUCACAAACGAUGGCAAUGACAGGUCACCACUGGACAUUUGCGGCCAAUGAAUAUUGUCAGUUGUCACACUUGCUGAGAACGAGCCGUUACUGCAUUUUAAAACAAAACUAGAUUCUGACCGUUUUUAAAAGGCGAGUAUAUUUUUUGUUUUACAUUUUUUUUUAAAAUUUAAUUUUUAUAUUUAUGUUUUUUAAUCAUAUUUAUGUUUUUGUAUAAUACUUUCUUAAAUGAUUAAUAAAUUUUUUUAAUAAUUAUAUUAAAAUAGUUGGACUACAUAUAUAUCAAUAGGUCAUGUUCUUGUUUUAAUAGAAUAUAGAUAAAAAAAAAUAUUUUAUGCACUUGGAAAGCGCAGAUUUUUUUGAUUAUAUUAUAAUACAAAGUCUUAUUAUAUCGAAAAAUAUAAUUUUUAACAGUUAUAUAAUCUAUGAAUUAGUUUAUUUGAUAUUUUAUAUGUACACUUUUACGUAAGUUUCUUUUAGGCAUGAGAAUUAUAUCCGGAUAAAAGAAACAAACCGAACCGAUCGGAAAUAAAGGUUUAGUUCAGGUCUAGAGAAGAUAACCUAUUGGGUUUUUUUGGACCCGCAGGUCGUUGUUUGAGUCUGGGUCCUAUCCUAGACCCGAUCAUAAAUAUGUUGUGUUUAUUAGGUAUAUUUGGAUAUUUCGAAUAUGUUUUCGGCAUUAUGGAUAUUUUUUUAACUUUUUGGUUUACGAUUAUAGUUUUUGAUUUCAGGUAAUUUUCAAAUUAAAAUUUUUUUUUGGGUAUUUGGAUAAAAUUUUGGGUAUUUUCAGUUCAGUGUCAGAUUUUGAAUAAGAUUUUGAAUAUUUAGGUAUUUGAAUUUUUUGGGUAUUUGUUUAGAGUUUCAAGUACUUUUCGUGUUUCGAAUAUUUUUCAGAAUUUUUAGAUAUUUCAAUUUUUUUCAGGAUCCUAAAUACCCGAAUAAAUGUGGACACAUUAUGUCCAUAUCGGAUCCAACAACCUUUUGAAACAGAUUUUUAACGUUAUUGUACAAAAACAUGGUUGAUGAAAUAUUUUUAGAGAACUCAUUUUUAGAUAUGAAAAUAUCUAUCAAACUAUAGACGGUUGAAAGUUUAGUAUAUAUGAUAUGAGAUUUUAGUGGGAAAGUUUUAUAUAUGAUAUGAUUACUUUAUUAUAAAGGAAAGAGGAAGUUAGAAUGUAUACAUAUAUACCGUGUAACUUUUCUUGCUUUAAAUCAUAUAUUAUAUGAUAAAAGUGAUAAUAUAAAACAUUAGUUUCAAUGUUUUUACGAUUAAAAAUCAAAAUGAUAAAUAUAGUAAUAGUAAUGAUUAAGAUUUAAGAGUGAUAUUUGAAUAAAUAAAGGAAUUGAAUAAAUUAUUAUUAGAAAAAUAGAUGGUAACAGAUUGUUAGUCUAAGUUUAAGGUAAGACAAAAAAAUAAUGAGUUAAAUGAAAUGG
Molecule: long non-coding RNA, 4881 nt
Organism: Brassica rapa (field mustard)
Lineage: Eukaryota; Viridiplantae; Streptophyta; Magnoliopsida; Brassicales; Brassicaceae
Source: RefSeq, a predicted model, not a curated record